GAGCGGCCACGGAAGGCCCUUGACGGCUUAGGAGCAGCAGGGGUGCUCGAGGUAUCCGGCGAGCGUCGGAGUCAGAGGCAAAAUGAGACGACGGUGAUCGGCGGCUGCAUGGGCCCUCUGCUCCAACGUAGGACCCCGGGCGACGUGGAUGAGGAUGGCGGAACGGACGGACAGGGUCGGUGGCCUCGGGGCCGCCGGUGGCCGCGGAAUCGACGGAAGUACGGCGGCGAUGGCGUCGGUCUCCUCUCCAGAACGGAGGAGAUGGAGAGGGGAGAGGUGGAUCUGGGGNNNNNNNNNNNNNNNNNNNNNNNNNNNNNNNNNNNNNNNNNNNNNNNNNNNNNNNNNNNNNNNNNNNNNNNNNNNNNNNNNNNNNNNNNNNNNNNNNNNNNNNNNNNNNNNNNNNNNNNNNNNNNNNNNNNNNNNNNNNNNNNNNNNNNNNNNNNNNNNNNNNNNNNNNNNNNNNNNNNNNNNNNNNNNNNNNNNNNNNNNNAGGAGGCGGAGAGGCGCGGGGCCUUAUCCUCUCACGGGGGCGUCGCCGGCGAGGUGGUUCGGCGGGGACCAGCCUUCUGUUGCGGUCUGAGACUGAGGAACAGGGCGGGGGAGAGGUCGGUGCGAGGGGGGCAACUGGGCUAGCUCGGGUGGGUUAGGUGGCCGGACCAGGUGGGAUGGGCCGAAGCCCAAGGGGAGGCUGAGGGCUCUCCCACCCCUUCUUCUUUCCUUUUCUUUUUCUUUUUUUGUUUUUCUUUUCCAGCAGCUUUUGCCUUUUCUUUUAGCCAUUAAUGACUUUGCAAAAUUAUGCCACUGGCUAAAACAAUUCCAAAGAAUUAUUGUGCAAUGCCACAAAAAGAAUUGUGAGGCUUUUUUUGAAAAAGGUAGAAAUUUUAGAAAUUAAAAAGCCAUUUAAUCUAUUUCUUUAGCCACUACUUUAAUUGGUUUAGGCCAUUUAAACACCUUGCGAAAAUGUUGGUCCGCCACCAAUAUUAACAAAUGAUUAUUUGCCACAAGAUGGACAUUUUUGAUUUCAUGUCUGACAAAUAUGAAUUUUUUACUUUAGAUUGGAUUUGAAUUUGAAUGUGAUUUGGAUCAAGUGAAGAUUAGCAACAGUAAUGUGAUGACAUGGCACCAUUAACAGGGGAUUACUGUAUCAUGACACUUGGGGUGUUACAAAUCUCCUCCACUACAAGAAAUCUCGUCCCGAGAUUUAAGUGGAGAAGUAAAGAGUAACUUCAGGAGAACUGACCCUUAUAUGGUUAAUUAUCUGGUGAACAAUUCAGGGAAUGAGGCGGAAGUAUCUCUCGAGUUGAAACUUAAUAAAACAUCGAGACCAAAGUAUGAAGGUACCAUGAGAAGUUUUAAUGGGUAGGCAAUCAUUCCAUGCCUAAUCAAAAGGUGAAAGGGGUUCAGAGCAGCAACAACAAGAUUUAUUGCAUCUGAUACUAGAACAGAUCAAUAGGAAGGUGGCUCAUGAAUUACAUACGAAGGCAAGUGAAAAGGAAUACUUCGGAAUCAAGGAUGUACAGGAGUCAGGUUUCGAUCUUGUGGAACUGUGGGUUAUGUGCCCACCAUGUGGUUCAAAAGUAGGAAGGACGCCGACAUAUUGCACGGUCAUGGUAGCAAGGCAUGGCAGAGGAUAGUCUGUGAGUUAUGUUGGCAACAACAUUGGUACCAAGGGCGAGGGACGAAGAAAACCAUUUUCCUGCUCGUUGAACAAGGCGGACCAAUAGGCAAAGUUCUCGUCCAUUGGGGGUUACCAGGAUGUCGUCAGCAAUAGUAACAGGGUCACACUGACAGAGUUGUAAACCGAGGUGUUUUCAUAAGCAGGGAAGUAUUACUGCUUAAAUCUCAUAAACCACAAGAAAGGUUAAAAAAAACAAUGGAAAAGAAAGGUGAUCAUUAGAUUAAUCAGAACAUUGGAAAGGAAAAUGUGUUUACACACAAGAAUUUGGAAUAUAUCCUUCCCAAGGGGAAGCGGAGCAGGAUAUACAUGAUAUGACAGCAAGUUCAAAAGCAUUUAGAUAAAGGGGGCGAGGGAAGAAUCAUGAUAUUACCCAUACAAAGGUGUUUGGAUAAUAGAUCAAGAAACAUUUGACAAUGUGCUUCCAAUGUUCUUGCUGAUAUUCGGAAUACCUCAGUCAUGCUUCGAGGUAGCAUUAACAUAGUGUUUCGGGUAAGAGUUGGAUCUAAAGAUCUCAAAAGAUACAAAUGAACACUUCCAAGAUUAUGUCGAAACGUAAGGAAUAACCAAACACGACCAGAUCUAUGUUGGCAGGAAGUCAAGGAUGUCAUCGAUGAUAUAACAAAUCAUCUAGGGGCAGGGAUGGUGUUUCUAGCCAUGAAUUCAAUUGAUAUCUUAGAACAAGGCAGUAUAUUGAUGGUGAUCAUGACAAAUUUUGUUGAUAGGCUCUAUGAAGAUGCCAUCGAGUAGCAACGACAUCAAGCAAAAGGAAUGAUGAAGCAAAGGUUAUUGGAACAACGUAUACGACACAAGCUCGGAUUCAAGCUUGUUGUUCAGGGUGGAACGAUAAGAUGAGGAAGAUGGACGUAAGCUUCACUCAUCAUCGAAAAGUUGUGCUCUAGGAAUAAGGACCAGGUAGCACAGUUAAAAUUAGCAUGAUAAUGAUAUAUCCGAUCAGCCUAGGAAUGAUGUGACGGAGUAUCACUCCAAUUAAGAAUUUACAAGAGGUAGUGCAAUGACACAAUAUCCUUGAGAUAACAUGAGGCAAUACUUGAAGGUAGAUCAAAUUGGAGGUUGGACAGGUGAAAUGACUUGCAGGAGACAAGUAUUUUAACUUGUUCAAGAAAUGGAAUUAAGGAGAAACUAUGGUCAGCACCAUGAUUAUGAAUGAUCAAACCACCGAUACAAGAUGAACUUAUAACAAGGGGUAAAUAUUUGUACGAGUAGCUUCCAUGAUAAGUUCUACAUCGGGUCCAUGGGCAUGAACACAAAGGUUCAAGGUCGACUCCCACUUCUUCAAUGCAUAACCUUUCAUUCACUCCUCGUUUUCGAAGAAUUUGUAGUGCGAAAGAUUUAUCUGGUGAAGCACGAGAAGAGUAUGACUCACAUCUCUUUCGAGUUCACUCGGAUUAGGGAAGGCAUAGAUUCAACCCGUAGGGGUAUCGUAGGAACAUAUACCACUAAUUUCCAGAGCAUAUAACAUCAGCUCAAUAGCAGCAUGGUUGACAAUAAGCAGAGGAUAAAAUUUUACCAAAGGCAUUAUGUAUCAGAGGAAGAACUCAAGGAUUUGAGAACAGGCAGGUACGGUCAGAUAAUAAUCCACCAAAGGAUAUGGCUAACCACAAAGAAUCUGAUGUGAGUAACAAUGCUCAACCAAAAGAAGAAAUAGUGCAAAGGCAUCAGAUUAUAGAAGCAGUUGAAUAAUUUCGAUGUUCAAGUCGAAGGGAACUAGGUGGACAAUCAAGUACAACAUGAUUGGCCGAAAUCCAACUCAUGUCCAAAAUGACAUAUGAGCAGGAAGGUCAAAUUUCAGGGUUUGAAUGAUGAUUGCGAGCAACACGACAUAUUGAAUCAAUAGUCUCAGGAUGACAAUGACAAAAGGAUGUCAAUGAAUAUUGCCGGACAUAUGGAUUAACCAUAAUGCAGGCAGACAAGACUUUCGGGAGCACUAGGCUGCAAAGGAUCAUCGGGAGAUUGAAUUGCAUUCGAAGAAUUUUCUGAGACAUAUGAUCAACUGGGGAUGAACGAAUCCCCGAUAAGUGUGAGGAAUUAUUUGUAGGGGUAUUCAGGCGCAAAAAGAUUCUCGGAGAAAUCACAAAGUAUUUCAGGGUAUGUUGUAGUAACAAGAGCAAUUGGAAAAGAAGGUAUGGACGACAAGUGUAUGUAGCUAUCCAUGGGGAUUUAUCGAUGGUAGGGAAUUGCAACGGCGAAGGGCACAAGGGUCUCGGGAAAACCUCGAAGAGUAUCUUCAGAAUCUUCUGGCGAAGCAAGCGAUCAUGGAUAAUGUCGGGGCUCUCCGGGAGGAAGUGGGUACGAGAGCCUAAUGUCAGAGUUAGUAAAAUGUUUAACCCGAAUAGACGAGAGAUCAGAGUACCAGAGUAUAGACGAGGAAUAAAAGAUCCUAGUACCACCCAAUGGUGACAUGGGCCCAUAAGCCACACAACCAUGUUAGUAAAAGUUUUUUUAAGAGACUAGACUCAACUUCGGCGAAGGAGUUGGAAAGGGGGCUACCUACAGGCAAUCGGCUCUGAUACCAACUUGGGACGCCCUCGAUUCAAUCGUACACUAAUCAUGCAUGCAAAUGUGUACGAUCAAGAUCAAGGACUCACAGGAAGAUAUCACAACACAACUCUAGACAUAAAUUAAAAUAAUACAAGAUUUAUAUUACAAGCCAGGGGCCUCGAGGGCUCGAAUACAUCAGCUCGAAUACAAACGAGUCAGUGGAAGCAACAAUAUCUAAGUACAGACAUGAGUUAAACAAGUCUGCCUUAAGAAGGCUAGCACAAAAAGCAACAUCAAUCGAAAAGGCAAGGCCUCCUGCCUGGGAGCCUCCUAUCUACUCCUGGUCGUCGGUGGUCUCCAUGUAGUAGUAGGCAUCGGCGGUGGCAUCUGGCUCCUCGGCUCCAACAUCUGGUUGCAUCAACCAGAAAGAAGGAGAAAGGGAAAAAGGGGAAGCAAAGCAACCGUGAGUACUCAUCCAAAGUACUCGCAAGCAAGGAUCUACACUACAUAUGCAACAUUAUCAAAGGAAGGUUGUAUAUGUGGACUGGGCUGCAAAAAUGCCAGAAUAGAGAGAAGGCCUAGUCCUACCGAAGACUAGCAUCUUCUGGAAACCACCAUCUUGCAGCAAACAGGAGGGACUAGAGUAGCAUAAAGUAAAGUAGUAGUAGUGUUAUCAACCUCGGCCAGAGAUCCUUUCUCGACUCCCUGCGAGAAAGCAAUCCCAGAGCCACACCAUCCAUUUCUCAUCACAAUCCAAUUCUCAUCACAAGUAUCCAGUUCUAGUUGUAUCGAUCGGGAUACAACUCCAAGUGUCCAUUACCGUAGGACAGGCUAUCAAUAGAUGUUUUCUUCCCUACAGGGGUGCACCAACUUACCCACCACGCUCGAUUAACUCUGGCCGGACACACUUUCCUGGGUCAUGCCCGGCCUCGGCCAAACAAUACGCCGCAACCCGACCUAGACUUAACAGAGAGGUCAGCACACCGGACUAAACCUAUGCCCCCAGGGGUCAUGGGCCAUCUCCCCGGAAACUCCUACACGUUGCGUACGCGGCCGGUGAGCAGACCUAGCUACCUCCUUCAACAAGGCAGGUGCUUACGCAGUCCAACCCGGUGCGUGCCACUCAGUCGCCGACGUCUAUUAAGCUUCGGCUGAUGUAUACGACGCAGAACGCCCAUACUAUGCCCACGUGAUGGUUAGUGCUAUCAGGCCAGAGGCCCCUCGGAUCGAAUAUCCAAAUCGUAGUGGAUUAGGAACGCGCGGUAACAAGCAGAGACUCACGAAAGAUGUGACCCCGAUGCCCCAUCUCGAGGACUUGCGGCAAGGGCUAAGAAUGCCCGGCCACGCCUCGUAAUUAUCUCGCGGGCACCUUCCAGGUCAACCCGACUCCACAUCACUCGCAAUUAUGCUUGCGCGGGUACCCCUCAGGGUCGACCCGUCUUUAGUAACAUGGUUCAGUGUAAAGUCAUAGUAAUCAUAGUAACUGUGUGUCUAAACAUCAAGGGGAAAACCCGAGGAAUCACCCCCGGUGAAUUCCACUCGAUGUAAUCAUCAAGGUGAACGUAGGAGGAAUCACCCCCGAGGUUCACACUUGAGGUGUUGCACGACAGAGUCGUAUCGGAAGUGGUUCAGGCGGAAUCACUCUCGAUGACCACGACCAAAUAGCUACACUACAGGGUUAACAUCAGAAGUGCUGUAGAGGUCUCACCCUCGGCACUCGAUAGUAACCUAGCAGUGUCGAGCAACUAAGGGGAAAGUGAUGUGCGCUGCCGGGGCCUGGUCUUCGAUCCCGUUGAUCGGGUCUUCGAUGAUGAAGCAGGGGCAACAAGGACAAGGUGGGGGUCACUGAUGCAUCACUAACGAACCUAUACUAAGUAGUUUAGGAUAAGUAGGUAAGGUAAAAAAGCAGGUUACAAAAGCAGGCUAUGCAUCAUAAUAGGAGCAAACAAUAACAAUAGCAAAAUCUAAUGCAAGCAUGAGAGAAUGAAAUGGGCGAUAUCGGGAUGAUCAAAAGGGGGGGCUUGCCUGGUUGCUCUGGCAAGGAGGGGUCGUCGUCGACGUAGUCGAUCACAGGGGCAACAUCGGUCUCGGGGUCUACCGGAGAGAAGAGGGAGAAGAAACAGUAAAUAGAGAGCAAGCAAGUGCAUAACAGGACAACAGGCAAAGCUAGACGUGUUCUAACGCGGUGCUACACGCUACCGGCGAAAGGGGAUAACAUCCGGGAAUGCUUUCCCGAAGUUUGGCACUUUCGGACAGACGAACCGGAGGGGAAAGUUGCAUGUUUGCUAUGCUAGGGAUGUGUGGUGGACGAACGGGUUGCGUAUCCGGAUUCGUCUCGUCGUUCUGAGCAACUUUCAUGUACAAAGUUUUUCCAUCCAAGUUACGGAUGAAUUCCUACGAAUUUCCGAAGAAUUAAACAGCUAUUUGGAAAUCCUGAAAAUUGGCCAAGACUGAGAUUUGUUCAGUUUUUAAAGUUCACUUAGCUGAUUUCCAAAGGCUAUAACUAUGGUUCUUCCCAUCCUAUGGAUUAGUACCUUAUAUCAAUAUUGACCAUUUCCCUGUGAUCUACAAGAUGAUAUCAAUUGCAUCACUGAUAGUGUUGAUUUGCUUAAACAAAACUUUGCUUGAAAAGUGCCACUUGUUGUUGAUUCCAGAAACUGUUAAAUAUACGAACAUAGGAUUUUGUGAUUUUCACAGAAUUUAAUCCAUGCCUUAUUUGAAUUUAGUCCAAUGGGAUGUUUUGAACCUUUUCAAGUGCAUUACCCGCACAUAUUUAUUUUAGCUAUGUUAAGCUUUUUUUAGUUGAAGUUUUGAGGCUGUCAAGAGGGCUAGUCAGUGUAAUAGUUGCAAAGCUGGCUACUGCUACAGUAACUGAAUGUUACUGUAGCAGGGGAGCAGCAGCCGAGCGCAGCGGGCAGAGCAACAGCAAGGAGUAGCAGCGACGGCGCGGCGAGGUCGGCCGAAGGCGGGCGAGGCCGGAGGUGGGCGCGGCCACACACUCAGAGCACACACACACUACAUGCACACAUCGUGCACACACACACUGCACACACACAUCGUGCACACACACUGCACGCACGCACCACACGCACACACACGCACGGUCGCUCGGCCAAGGCCACGUCCAUGGCCAGCAGUAGCAGGCUAGCAGCAGCCAACCGCAAUGGCUAGCGGCAGCACGUUCCCAUGGGGGCGGCCUGGUUAGAGGUGGAGCGAGGGUACGACCACGUGCAUUCAGCGUGCACUGGGGCGUGGCUGGUCGAGCAACGGGAGAGGAAGGCUGGGGGCGAGGCCACGGCAAGGAAGGCGCGGGGAGCCCGCGGCCCGGUGCAGGAGUUAAUGUGGCGGAGCGCGGCGACCAGCGGCAGAAAGAGCAACGACAGCAGCAUCAUGGCAACAGCAGAAGGUAGGGGAGGAGCGACGCGGGGGAGGAGCAGCGACGUGCAGCAAGCAACACGACAGUAGGCAAGCAGAGCAACGCAGCAGUGCGGGCGAGCGCGGGGCGUAGACUGGGGGCAGUGACCGCGUGAUGACUGCGGCCACGGUCAGAAGCACAGACGGCGCGGACGGCGACCUACGACGGUGAAUCGAGGAGGAGGAGAGGACGGACUGGAGCUCACCGAGCGGCCACGGAAAGCCCUUGACGGCUUAGCAGCAGCAUGGGUGCUCGAGGUCGCCGGCGAGCGUCGGAGUCAGAGGCGAAAGGAGAUGACGGUGAUCGGCGGCUGCAUGGGCCCUCGGCUCCAACGUAGGACCCCAGGCGACGUGGAUGAGGACGGCGGAGCGGACGGACAGGGCCGGUGGCCUCGGGGCCGCUGGUGGCUGCGGAAUCGACGGAGGUACGGCGGCGAUGGCGUCGGUCUCCUCUCUAGAACGGAGGAGAUGGAGAGGGGAGAGGUGGAUCUGGGGGAGAGUGGGAGUGGCGGUAGG
This 8107-nucleotide long non-coding RNA is filed under the name Triticum aestivum (bread wheat). RNAcentral describes it as "long non-coding RNA (TAES_LNC006975)". Lineage: Eukaryota; Viridiplantae; Streptophyta; Magnoliopsida; Poales; Poaceae. The record is from RNAcentral.